CCAGCCAGCCGGAUUUCUCCAAGGUUUCUGCUUCAAGCUCCUUCAAGUUCCUGCCCUGACUUCUUUCAUGAUGGGCUGUGACAUGGAAGUGUCUAAGAUGCUGCAAUAACAUCAUUAUGUGGAAACCUUGGCCAUGUCUCUGAUUAUUUCCUUUGGAGAGAUUUUAUAAGUGAAUCAUGGAAUCAAAUAGGAGCAGCCUUUUGGAAACACUUGGGAAACACGAUCAAAUUACUUCCCCCAAAGAGACCACAGCAAUGGAAAAGAAUGGCUAUUUGUUUAUAUUUUAGGUUUUGAGUCAGGGUUCAACUGUGCGGCUCAGGUUUUCCUGGAACUUGUGAUCCUCCUGCCUCAGACUCUUGACUGCUUAGAUGGCUGAAGAGAGUGACUUGUCAGAGCAUUUCCAGUAUUGGCGUGACCACUGCUUUACUGAAAAUAGUAACUUUCUGAGCUAGAGAGAUGACUCAGCUACUAAGAAUGCCUCCUUCUCUAGUAGAGGACCCCAGGUCAAUUCCCAGCACCCAUAUAAGAUGACUCACAAGUGCCUAUAACUCAGCGUCAGGAGAUCUCAGGCAUCCAAAGACACCUGCACGUAACCCUACACAAAUAAUUAAAAACAAUUACAAUAAAUCUUAAAAAUAGUA
Mastomys coucha (southern multimammate mouse) is the source of this 641-nucleotide long non-coding RNA. RefSeq lists it as uncharacterized. Lineage: Eukaryota; Metazoa; Chordata; Mammalia; Rodentia; Muridae. The transcript has 2 exons. The record is from RefSeq and is a predicted model, not a curated record.